AGGGUUCUUGCGAUCUUUGUCGCACGUGAUGUUGAGAGUUGAUCUUGGGGUAGAAAUGAAAGUUAGUUAUUAAGUUACAGACUUACAGAGAACCUGAAUCAAAUGAUUGAUGAUUGUUGAAUUGUUUAAGAUAUUUUUAUAAUGUGUUGAAAAUGAAUGAUAUGGAAAUUAUUAUUGUUUAUAUCAUUCAAGUUGUUAUUGUUGAUGUUGCUAUGUUGCAAGAUGUUUAUGUUUCUAUCUCUGUUGUUGUUGAAUCAUUAUUGUCAUUAAGUUGCAAGUGUUGGUCUAAGUUGU
This 294-nucleotide long non-coding RNA is filed under the name Medicago truncatula (barrel medic). RNAcentral describes it as "long non-coding RNA (MTRU_LNC000384)". Lineage: Eukaryota; Viridiplantae; Streptophyta; Magnoliopsida; Fabales; Fabaceae. The record is from RNAcentral.